GCAAUUUUCAUUUCUUCCACCAACGUCAUAAAUCCACCCACCAAGUUAUGAUUCAAUACUGCGAUCUGGGGAGCCCAUGAUUCUCCAUGAGUCCCCUGUCCAUUUUAUGAUCCAAGAAACCAUUAGGGAGCAAUGAGUUCAAAUCUGGGUCCGUCUCACUGGGUUGAGAUGGCUAAGCUUCGGUCAAUAGAAGGUGGAUUUCGCACUACCCACAAGAACUUUUGGCCACUUGCUAUUUCUCUUAAUUGUUCCAUUUGAGAACCUCCCCAAGCUCCAGGAACACAGAAGGACAAGUAGACAACACUUUAACUCGGUUGCGACUCGAACCAGGUUAAACGGACUCGAACCAGGUUGAGAUGGCUAACCAGGUCGAUAUAGUAAAGAGAUGUGGAACAACUUGGUAUGCAGAAUCCAUCUGAAAUUGCCUUAAGAGCUUUGGGCUCGAGCAAUUCAAAUAUGUUCACUAUAAUUGCCACUGAUUUUUGAAAGCAGGUGGCCGUGUCUAGAAAGUAUCCAUAGCUUUUUAUUGUGGCGAUAAAGGCAAGUCAGAGGAAAGUAACGGUGGCAAACCUGGCACAUGAAGAAAGAUGUUAAUAUCUCUGAAACUUCUGGUAGUGUUUUCAUGAAGGGUCGGAAGAUGCACGAAAAUAGCAGGAAACCCCGCAGAAGUAACGAAGAAAUAGCCAAGGAUUUGUUUUAAAAUUAUCCCUUCCACAUUAUUUAAAAUAAAUAAUAUUAAUCACUGUG
RNAcentral lists this unclassified non-coding RNA (747 nucleotides) under Hevea brasiliensis (rubber tree). The record is from RNAcentral. Lineage: Eukaryota; Viridiplantae; Streptophyta; Magnoliopsida; Malpighiales; Euphorbiaceae.